RNAcentral lists this ribosomal RNA (369 nucleotides) under uncultured bacterium. Its description in RNAcentral is "bacterial SSU rRNA". It matches the Rfam family "Bacterial small subunit ribosomal RNA", at positions 527 to 898 of the family's 1533-position model. The record is from RNAcentral.
GUAGGACGCAAGCGUUAUCCGGAGUUACUGGGCGUAAAGCGCGGGCAGGCGGCUUUUCAAGUCUGAUGUGAAAGCUCCCGGCUUAACCGGGAGAGGCCAUUGGAAACUGAGGAGCUGGAGGGCAGUAGAGGUAGGCGGAAUUCCGGGUGGAGUGGUGAAAUGCGUAGAGAUCCGGAGGAACACCAGAGGCGAAGGCGGCCUACUGGGCUGCACCUGACGCUGAGCCGCGAAAGCCAGGGGAGCGAACGGGAUUAGAAACCCCGGUAGUCCUGGCCGUAAACGAUGUCAACUGGGUGUCGGGGCGUACGCCUCGGCGCCGCAGCCAACGCGAUAAGUUGACCGCCUGGGGAGUACGGCCGCAAGGCUAAA